AACGAACGCUGGCGGCAGGCCUAACACAUGCAAGUCGAGCGGACCCUUCGGGGUUAGCGGCGGACGGGUGAGUAACGCGUGGGAAUAUGCCCUUCUCUACGGAAUAGUCCUGGGAAACUGGGGGUAAUACCGUAUACGCCCUUUGGGGGAAAGAUUUAUCGGGGAAGGAUUAGCCCGCGUUGGAUUAGGUAGUUGGUGGGGUAAUGGCCUACCAAGCCGACGAUCCAUAGCUGGUGUGAGAGGAUGAUCAGCCACACUGGGACUGAGACACGGCCCAGACUCCUACGGGAGGCAGCAGUGGGGAAUCUUAGACAAUGGGGGCAACCCUGAUCUAGCCAUGCCGCGUGAGUGAUGAAGGCCUUAGGGUUGUAAAGCUCUUUCAGCUGGGAAGAUAAUGACGGUACCAGCAGAAGAAGCCCCGGCUAACUCCGUG
RNAcentral lists this ribosomal RNA (433 nucleotides) under uncultured bacterium. RNAcentral describes it as "partial 16S ribosomal RNA". It matches the Rfam family "Bacterial small subunit ribosomal RNA", at positions 29 to 507 of the family's 1533-position model. The record is from RNAcentral.